GAUGAACGCUAGCUACAGGCUUAACACACGCAAGUCGAGGGGAAACGAUAUUGGAAGCUUGCUUCCGAUAGGCGUCGACCGGCGCACGGGUGAGUAACGCGUAUCCAACCUGCCCAUCACUUGGGGAUAACCUUGCGAAAGUAAGACUAAUACCCAAUGACGUCUCUAGAAGACAUCUGAAAGAGAUUAAAGAUUUAUCGGUGGUGGAUGGGGAUGCGUCUGAUUAGCUUGCUGGCGGGGUAACGGCCCACCAAGGCGACGAUCAGUAGGGGUUCUGAGAGGAAGGUCCCCCACAUUGGAACUGAGACACGGUCCAAACUCCUACGGGAGGCAGCAGUGAGGAAUAUUGGUCAAUGGGCGAGAGCCUGAACCAGCCAAGUAGCGUGCAGGAUGACGGCCCUAUGGGUUGUAAACUGCUUUUAUAAGGGAAUAAAGUGAGCCACGUGUGGCUUUUUGCAUGUACCUUAUGAAUAAGGACCGGCUAAUUCCGUGCCAGCAGCCGCAGUAA
Molecule: ribosomal RNA, 508 nt
Filed under: uncultured bacterium
Lineage: Bacteria
Description: partial 16S ribosomal RNA
Rfam family: Bacterial small subunit ribosomal RNA
Source: RNAcentral